RNAcentral lists this ribosomal RNA (438 nucleotides) under uncultured bacterium. Its description in RNAcentral is "partial 16S ribosomal RNA". It matches the Rfam family "Bacterial small subunit ribosomal RNA", at positions 338 to 795 of the family's 1533-position model. The record is from RNAcentral.
CCUACGGUGGGCUGCAGUGGGGAAUAUUGCACAAUGGGCGAAAGCCUGAUGCAGCAACGCCGCGUGAGCGAUGAAGGCCUUCGGGUCGUAAAGCUAUGUCCUCAAGGAAGAUCAUGACGGUACUUGAGGAGGAAGCCCGGGGAACUACGUGACAGCAGCCGCGGUUAAACGUAGGGGGGUAGCGUUAUUCGGAAUUAAGGGGCGAAAAGGGUGCGUUGGUGGUUUCUUAAGUCAGAGGUGAACGGCUACGGGUCAACCGUAGUAAGCCUUUGAAACUGGGGAACUUGAGUGCAGGAGAGGAGAGUGGAAUUCCUAGUGUAGCGGUGAAAUGCGUAGAUAUUAGGAGGAACACCAGUUGCGAAGGCGGCUCUCUGGACUGUAACUGACACUGAGGCACGAAAGCGUGGGGAGCAAACAGGAUUAGAUACCCGAGUAGUC